Molecule: long non-coding RNA, 1085 nt
Filed under: Homo sapiens (human)
Lineage: Eukaryota; Metazoa; Chordata; Mammalia; Primates; Hominidae
Description: HSALNT0357154
Source: RNAcentral
AAAUGCUUCUGGGUCUGCAGAGGAGCAAGCUGCGCUGGCCCACGAGGCCCUUCUCCCCGGGGCAGAUGGAUUUCAGGCGCCCCCCACCCCUUGAGGAGAAUAUCAAGGAAAUGGACAGAAGAGUAUAUUACAACUAUCAUCUCUGCCCUUGGCCUCGUGAGGGUCGCUGGGCUGGGACAAAGUCCUGCCUGGGCAGUUGACAUCAAAAUUCGUCGUGCCUUGCCUGCUUUAUGUGGGCAAAAGGAUGAAAGAAUUGCACUUCUGUUGCGCUUCCACUGCUAGAUCAUAAGCUCCCUGAAAACACGUUGCAUCUGUGUCUCUAGCAACUUCCACAAAUGUUUGGAGAAUAAAUUAAUGUGUGGCAGGGCGCGGUCCCUGUGAACUCUAACUGUGCUCUUUUUCUCUGUGACAGAAAAGGAGACAUUGCAGAGAAUCAACCUGUGCCUGCAGCUAGGGAUUCGUUAAUUACUUUGUUCCCUCUUUUCCUCCCUCCCUCCCUUCCUCCUUUCCUUUCGCUAACAUUUUGAUGGAUACCUCAUGUGUGCUGGAGAUCAGGCGGUGGACCAGGGAUACAAGAAACGAGACUCCUAGCCCUUGAGAUGCUCUUCAUGUGAUGGACAGCCCUGAAACAUCUUUCAUGCAACUCCUCAGGCAGCCCAGAAACAGCCAGGAACCAUUCGCCAGGAGCUGUGGCCAACUUAAUAACUCAUCCUUGUAUUGGUUUCCAUCCUCUGUCCUUCAUCCGUCUUGUCUUUUACUCCUACUUGCUGGAUCACACAUCCCAAUAAAUUUUUGCACUCAAGCGUUUGUCUCAGGAUCUGCUGUCCGGAGGACCAAGACUAAGUUCAAGUCAUAUUUUUUUUUUUUUGAGAUGGAAUCUCACUCUGUUGCCCAGGCUGGAGUGCAGCGGCAUGAUUUUGAUUCACUGCAACGUCCACCUCCCGGGUUCAAGUGAUUGUCCUGCCUCAGCCUCAUGAGUAGCUGGGAUUACAGGUGCACGCCACCACACCUGGCUAAUUUUUGUAUUUUUAGUAGAGACAGGGUUUCACCAUGUUGGUCAGGCUGGUCUCAAACUCCUGGCCUCG